UCCUCUUUUAUUUCCUUGAGCAGUGGUUUGUAGUUCUUCUUGAAGAGGUCCUUCACGUCCCUUGUAAGUUGGAUUCCUAAGUAUUUUAUUCUCUUUGAAGCAAUUGUGAAUGGGAGUUCACUCAUGAUUUGGCUCUCUGUUUGUCUGUUAUCGGUGUAUAAGAAUGCUUGUGAUUUUUGUACAUUGAUUUUGUAUCCUGAGACUUUGCUGAAGUUGCUUAUCAGCUUAAGGAGAUUUUGGGCUGAGACAAUGGGGUUUUCUAUACAUACAGUCAUGUCGUCUGCAAACAGGGACAAUUUGACUUCCUCUUUUCCUAAUUGAAUACCCUUUAUUUCCUUAUCCUGCCUAAUUGCCCUGGCCAGAACUUCCAACACUAUGUUGAAUAGGAGUGGUGAGAGAGGGCAUCCCUGUCUUGUGCCAGUUUUCAAAGGGAAUGCUUCCAGUUUUUGCCCAUUCAGUAAACAUGGAAAAAUAGCAAAUUAGAGACAGUGGGUAUUAACAAUUGCAUAUAUCACAAUAAAUGUAUGUUUAAUCUCAGGAAUGCAUGGCAGUUCUGUCUUUAGAAAAUGUAUUUUUUGUAUUUUUAUCAAUUUAGAGAUGCCCUUUUAAAAAAACAUAUUACAAAUUGGAAUAUUCAAAGGGCAGCUGUUUUAUUUUCUUCCUUGCUGAAACAUAAAAUAAUGACGUGUUUUAAAAUUUAUAGAAUCUUUGAUUUGAUCAAAUAUGGUAAUGUAAUUUGCCAUUCUAACAGAUCAAAAUCAGAAUCAGUAUGAUCAUCUAUCUUGAUUUGCGAGAAGCAUUUGAUAAUAUUCAAAAUCCAUUUAUGAAAAAACUCUUGGCAGAGGAGAAACAGCAAAGAAUUUUUAAAAUAUAAAGGGUAUGUACAAAACUGUAGUAACCAUCUUACUGAAAGAUCAAACUUGUUCCCUUUCAGCUUGGGAAUAAGACAGAGCUUCCUAUUAAGACCACCACAUCUACUCAUCUUUAAGCUGGUGAUUCUCACCAACACAUCUAAGCAUGAAAGAAAUAAAAAUUAUAAGAUAAAAAGGAAAGAAAACUCUCAGUACUUAAAGAUGAUAUAAUUACAUAGAAAAUCAAGAAGAUUCCAUGGAUAGGCUUCCCAAAAAACAAUAUGUAACAUACCAGCAACAAAUGGUAAGAAAAACACGUUGUUUUUUUUUUAAAGUACAUUUUCAGUGACAUUAAAUAAUAAGGAUUCAGGAAUACAACGAAUAUAACAAAAAUGUAAGAUAUCUAGGGAUGCGUAUAACAAAAAAAUUAUAAAGCUUCAUUUAAAACAUUUUUAAACAAAAUAAGUAGAAAGUAAUACCAUCUUUAUGGAACAGAGUCAGUAUUAUAAAUGUGUCAGUUUUCUUCAACUGGUCCAUAGACAACACAAUUUUAACUAAGAUUCCAAUUGGGAUUUCUGUGGAACUUGAUGAGUUAGGGCCAAAAGUAAUCAAGAUAUUCAUGAGGAAGGAUAACAGAAUGGCAAAACUUGCUUUAAUAAUUUGUGCAGGGAUAGACAAAUACUGUACACCAGUCUCUCAAUAGGGAGAUCAAAACCAAAUUCACACAGACAUGAAAAGUUGAUUUAUGACAGAUGAUGUUGCAGUCCCUGGGGAAAGAAUGGAAAUGGUGCUAGAAUAAUUGGUUUCUAUAUGUAUUUCUAUAUAUUUAUAUGCCAUUACAUUAAAGUCAAUGCCUAUGGAGUUUGGGAGGAGUGAUCAAAAUGUUCUGGAAUUAGAUGUGAUGUUUGCACAACUCUGUGAAUGUACUAAGAACCACUGAAUUGUAUAUUUUUAAAGCAUGGUAUGUGAAUAAUACCUCAAUAAAGCUGUUAUAAAAAAUAUUUUAAAAA
This is a long non-coding RNA of Homo sapiens (human), 1861 nucleotides long. The record is from Ensembl. Lineage: Eukaryota; Metazoa; Chordata; Mammalia; Primates; Hominidae.